AAGUCGUAACAAGGUUUCCGUAGGUGAACCUGCGGAAGGAUCAUUAACACUUUUGGAUUCGUCCCAAAUUAACAAAUUCAAUUAACCCAAACCCCUACUUGCAAACCAAAAAUUAUAACCUAACCUAACCAAACUUUUAUUAACACCUAACAACAUAACUAAUUGACUAAUUUCUCAAGAUUGUAUCUCUUCUUAAGCAAGCAUGUAUUCUCUUGGUUUGUCUAGCUAGCUAGGCCAACUUGAAGAUUGAAUCGUUUGUGACGAGUUGAGUCCAAUCUGCUUUGAUCAAUUCAUUUUCUACGAUGAAUUGUACUAAAUAAUAAACUACAACUCUAAACAAUGGAUAUCUUGGUUCUC
Molecule: unclassified non-coding RNA, 357 nt
Filed under: fungal sp.
Lineage: Eukaryota; Fungi
Description: partial internal transcribed spacer region
Rfam family: Eukaryotic small subunit ribosomal RNA (bases 1-46)
Source: RNAcentral